GGGGGUGUACUGGUUUCGACGGGGAUCUCAUCUGUUGGGGCAGCCAUUCGUAGGAAGUCUACACUACGUAAAAAGAGGACAUUUUAAAUUAAACGCAGAAGACAAUUUUGCGCUAGCAGCCUAGGGCUGCUCGUUUUACUAGGCUAAUCCGCAGGCUUAGAUAAAACGCCGAACAGCGGAGAACGACUCUUGAUAAGCUUUGCCCAAGAGCUGUACCUAUGAAGCUACUGAAACUGUUAACCGGUCAUUAGGUGAAUAGCAGAGGGAAUGUCAAAAUGAUGACUAUAAUGGUAGAGACCACGCCUUAUGGAUUUUCGGACAGGGGUUCGAUUCCCCUCACCUCCAUUU
RNAcentral lists this transfer-messenger RNA (348 nucleotides) under Cellulosilyticaceae. RNAcentral's name for it is "Epulopiscium_B sp002007295 Standard tmRNA". It matches the Rfam family "transfer-messenger RNA". From Rfam's summary of the family: Bacterial tmRNA, also known as 10Sa RNA or SsrA, is named for its dual tRNA and mRNA-like properties. Its role is to liberate the mRNA from a stalled ribosome. Lineage: Bacteria; Bacillati; Bacillota; Clostridia; Lachnospirales. The record is from RNAcentral.